AACGCACAUUGCGCCCCUUGGUAUUCCAUGGGGCAUGCCUGUUCGAGCGUCAUUUGUACCCUCAAGCUAUGCUUGGUGUUGGGUGAUUGUCCUCUCUAGGACUCGCCUCAAAGUCAUUGGCAGCCAGUAUUUUGGUAUAAAGCGCAGCACAUUUUGCGAUUUACUCCAGUAAUAUUAGCACCCAUUAAGCUCAAUUAUCACUUUUGACCUCGGAUCAGGUAGGGAUACCCGCUGAACUUAA
RNAcentral lists this unclassified non-coding RNA (241 nucleotides) under uncultured fungus. RNAcentral describes it as "partial contains 5.8S ribosomal RNA, internal transcribed spacer 2, and large subunit ribosomal RNA". Lineage: Eukaryota; Fungi. The record is from RNAcentral.